RNAcentral lists this long non-coding RNA (6337 nucleotides) under Sus scrofa (pig). Its description in RNAcentral is "lncRNA (ENSSSCG00055028788.1)". Lineage: Eukaryota; Metazoa; Chordata; Mammalia; Artiodactyla; Suidae. The record is from RNAcentral.
UGAUCCAGCAGGACAAACAUUCCCACCAGGCAGGCCAAUUAAUAAGAUGGCUUAACACCCAGCCUCUCAGAACACGGAGGAGCUCUGUGCCCUCAGCUCCUCCUGGGCUGUUAUUUAACAAUUCUCCAGGCUAAAGGAUCAUGCUGUAGAAUCUUGCAGCAAGCAAAGGGCCUUGUGAAGGUGUCGAAGACAGAGCCUCAUUUAUUCUGGCGUGGUUGUGAAGAUCGUGCUCACCACUGAACCACAGCCAGUUUCUAAAGAUGACGGGCCCAGCAAUUCCGUCAUGGGCGUCUGCUUCAUGAGCCCAUUGUAAGGGCUCAUCCUCCUCCCAGAGCAGCACAGAUUACAAGGCAGCCUCUGGAGGCAGCUGGCCUUGGAUUCCACUCCCAGCAGCUCCAGUUUCAAGCUGAGUAACUUGGGGGAAUUACACAAGCGUUACUUUCUUCAUCUGUAACGUGGGCCCAGUAUUACUUCCCAGUUAGCAGCAUUGUUGGGAAGAUUAGAGACACUGUGUUGACGGUACCCAGCUCAGUAAUUGGCACUCCACAGACCACUGCUGGGUUGGAGCCUAUGUUUGCCGGUUUCCCUUUCUAUGAUUUUGCCCCUGUGUGAUGUUCUGAAUAAAGCACUGGUUUGGGGCAGCUGGACCCAAAGGUUUGAGUUCCUUCUGUGCCCUUAGCAGCUGUUGCAAUUCGGGGUGAAGUCUAUGAUCUUCCAAAGAUUUUUUUUUCAUCAUCAGUAACAUGGAUGUAAUAACAUUACUUGUGGUUAAGAUUGAAACGGGCAGUUGUAUAUAAAAUGCUUCUUUUGCAGUGCCUGACAUAUACUAAGCACUCUAUAAAUGUUUGUUAUAAAUAUUAAGUAGGACACGCACUUUGGAAUCUGCAAAGGCUUUGGUUACAUGUGGAAGAGGAUAUUGCUACCCCUCCUCCAAAAUGUAGCAAAGGAAAUCCAGAAAGUUGGAUCGACAUUAAGAACUUCUAUUUUUCAACCCUGAGGUUAUGCCAAGUGCAGACCUGUUUGCACUUAUUGGCAAAAUAACUUUCCAGGGUGUGAAAAAACCAUUAACUACAGUCUAGCUCUUUCUGAAAUAAAUACAUGGGCACACUAUUGGGGAAAAGUAUAAACCCAAAUCAGAGUACUGUUUACUAGGCAACUUGAAUGUGUGGAACCCAGAGCUGGGUCUGGGUGAGUGGAUACUGAAUCCAAUUACCCUGCAAGGCUACUUUUACAGCCCCAUGUCUGAAAGCAGGAGGGGCCCAGAACUCAUCGAAGAUGAGUGACUGAGCUCAGAGGUGACUGAGUUUGAACUUGAGCCACCUCUCGGUCAGUGGGGCUGCCCCUGUUGUAGCCUUUGCAUACACAGUCUCUCAGCUGUCCCAGGACAUCAGACAAGACAAGUGUUCGUGUCUCUUUUGUAGAGGAGGGAACUGAGGCUCAGAGUGGUUGUGGAACUGGCAUGUGCUUACACAGCUGGAGGCAGAGUUGAGACCCACACCUCUUAACCACACCCGUCCUGCUCCAAGCUCAGAACCUGGAUGGCUUCCCUGGCUGGCAGAACCUGCCCACAGGCGUGCCCAGGGUGAUGAAGGAGAACUAAGCUUAUCCAAGAGUCCCUUAGAGAAGUGACAUGUUCCCAUUAGUCAUCCCUGCCUCUUUAUGUACUCCAGAUGAAACACAUUAGCAGAAAUAUGGCAAGGGACAUUCACAAUACUCUGUUCUACACUCUCAGCAGUUUUUGCAAAUCUGCAAUUAGUCUAAAGGGCCUGGGUAAAUUAGGCCUCUUGAUAAAUGAAGCACCUAGACAGGCCUCAGAUUUAUUGGAUCCCGCUGUCCCGCUGUCCCAAGCCCUUGUCAGCUCCUUGAAGAACGGGGACUCUGCAGGGGGAGAGGAAGGAGAGGGAGCCAGUUCAGGCCUAGAAUUGCCCCCAAGUCUUGCAAUAGACCGGGCUUGAGACCGCCACCUCUUUGGUCUUAAAAAUUUCUGCGUGUAGUAGCAGAUGAAGUAGGAAGCCAUUGCCGGCUAGUUUGGGGGGUGGGGUGGGGGCAAGAGACAGGAGAGAUGAGGGGAGAGGCAGGAUCUGUGGGAGAUGUGGUUUUGCUACAGCUGGGAGGGAAGGGUCACUAGAGGCCUGCAAGUUUCACAGUUCCCUGUCCCUCUCUGGGCCACCCCACCUCUCCAAUUCUGGGAAUUGGCCAUGGGUACCACCAAUGGGCCCCACCAAGGCUCUCUCUCUGGGUUCUGGUUUUUAACCAUUACUUCCCCAAGUCCAGUUUUCCACAUGCUUCCCACAGUACACUACAUGUGUGUUUGAACUACACGGAUUCUAGGAAAAUACCCACUUCCCACAAAGGGGGAUUGUUGAUAAUGCCUUAAAGCAAACAUCCAGGGGCAAGGAGGCUGUCAGAGGUUAUGAUGCAGGUAAAGGGGACAGAUGGGGAGGGGACAGCAUGAGCAUAUUAUCCUGAUUUAUGUCUCCAAAUAGUAGGCAGCAAUUCACAGCCAUACUGGGGGGAUACCUGCUAACUAUGCUGCUAUGGAUGCCUUGGUGGCUGCGGGUGCUGAGGUCAGCUGAACCAGGCCAUGAGAAGACCUGGCAGAUGUGCAGAUGUUUUUGGGGGUGGCAAGAGUAAUUUUUUGUUAGGUUCCUCUGAUUUAUUUAUUUUUGCAUUUUCUCUCUUGAUUACUAGAGUAAUGCCUGUUUGGGGAUGGAGGUACACAGUCUGAAUUCUUUAAUUGAAAAAGUAGUAAUAGAGGCUUGUAUAGACCAUUUAAAACUGAGGUUGUGUGUGUGUGUGUGUCUAUCUGUCUGUCUCCCCUGUCUUUUUGUUAUAAUGUCAGGAUCUCUCUCUGGGUGUCUAGCUCCCUCCUCUCAAGAACCCUCCAGGCAUGCUGUGGCCCUUUGGCCCCCUAACACUGUCCCCCCAACUGAGUGCUUUGUCACUCAGCUACUAGUAGUCCAGCCAGCUGGGCUGACAGCCUAGCGGCAGAGUCAGGAGCACCCCAGGGUGUGAGUGUUCCAAAACCUCACACUCCCAGAGGCAGUAGCGGGUGGUGCCUGGCUGACAUGCGCCUGCAGCCUGCUGUGAUUCAGUGUCUCUGGUCUGCAGAUCAGUUGGGCGAUUCUCCUGUCAGCCCACAUUGAUUUUCUUGUAGAUUACAUUACCUCCAAUCACAAAAGAAAUUGUGCUCCUCUCCUGCAGUGUCAGGGCAAAAUGAAUAGCAAACAUUUUCCUGCAGGCAGCUCUGCUCUCCCAUCAAAGGCAGACUACUGUCUAUGCCCACCCCCUUCUCCAAGCCUUUCCUCUCUGACUCAGUGAAAAAGUUUCCCAGCUGAGAUGGGGCAUCGACUCCAACUUGGAGUGUUCAGGAUGCCCAAUUAUGCUGCAGUGAGAUCCUUCUGUGUCUUAAGACCUUCUAAAUUAUGGAAUUAAGAGGGUUUAGAGACAGGGGAAAGAGUUGGUGACACCAGAUGUGUUCAGAAUUUAGAAUGAGCUUUCUCAUAUAUUAAAAAUGACACUUUGAAUAUCAUCAAAGAGAUUGAACAAUUUUUAUUCCUUUUAAAAGUUGCUUUAGGUACUGAUUGGGGUCUCAGCUCUGUGUAUGUGCAGGUGUGUGUGUGCUGUAAGGGCCUCUUCUACUAUGUUUGGUGCCAGGUCCACCUUCUGAAACCCUCACAUGUGGGGACAGCCACGAGCAUGUGGGCAGCUUUGGCACAGAAUCCUGGCACUGUAGAUGAGGAGAGGCAUCAGCACUUUUCAGACAACAAACAAGCAGCAGAAGGCAGGCGCCAGUCUCCAAAGUGGGCUUUGUGGAAGAGGCAAGGUCUGUGUCUGGCUAACAACCAGCCUGUAAAGACUGGGUGAGGAAGAGGCACCAGACACUUGAAGAGUAAGAUGGCAUCUUCUCUCUAGGGGCACCGGAGUGGCCACACAAACACACAUCUCCACCCAAUUGAGUGUGGGUUUCAGUAUAUCCAUGUGAGUACACUGCAAUAAUGAGAGCAAUGAUUUCACUUGAUAACUUAACCAAUAGUUAUUAAGCAAGUACCAUGUGCCACACAUUGGGUAAGUGCUCGAUCACUUAUCUAUCCUCCCGUUUAUCAUGUAAGUCUAAUCCUCACUAUACAGAGGGAGACAGCAUCCUUGUUUUACUGAUCAGAAACAGAGCCCCAGAGAGUGUAUGUGACUAUACAAAGUAUUAUAGGUUGAACUGUGUCCCCCUACAAAAUAUGCUGACAUCCUAACCCUCCGGACCUGUGAAUGUGACCUCACAUGGAUAUUUUGCAGGUGCUCAAGUUCAGAUGAGGUCAUAGGACCUGCAUUCUUUAAAAAAAAAAAAAAUGGGGAUUUAGAUUGGAGGGAAGACUAUGAGAAAACAGAAGUCUACGAGACAAGGAAAGCCAAUGAUUGCCAGUAAACCACUAGAAGCUGGGAAAGAGGCCUGGAUAGAUUGUUCCCUCACAGCUCGAAAAAGAACCAACCCUGCUGACCCUUGGUCUCAGAAUUAUAGCUUCCAUAACUGUGACACGAUCACUUUAUGGGAUUAGAGACAAGAUGUAAGUAUAGAAGGACUUGAGCUUGCCUCCUCUCAUGAGAACACUGAAAUCACAACUGCAGAGCAACCACUGACAAAACUGGAAAGUACCAAAAAAGACAUCCUAUACUCAAAAGACAAGGAAGAAGCCACAAUGAGAUGGUAGGAGGUGUACUCAUGAGAUAUAAGCAAAUCCCAUACCCGAUAAGUGGGUGAUCCACUAACUGGAAAAUAACUAUACUGCUGGGGAUCUCCCACAGAAAUGAGAGUUCCAAAGCCUACAUCAGGUUCCCCAGCUUGGGGUCUGUGCUGGAAAGAGAAGCACCCAGAACACUGAAGACCAGCAGGGCUUAAAUGCAGGAGCUCCACAGGACUGUGGGAAAAAGAGACUCCACUCUUGGAGGGUGCAUACAUGAUUUCACAUGCCCUGGUCCCAGGGCAGAGUAGGGACUCCAUAAGAAUCUUGGCCAGACCUACCAACAGGCAUUGGAGGGUCUCCCAGGGAGGCAGGGGUUGGCUGUGGCUCACUGUGGAGGAAGGAAACUGGAGGUGGAGGUCCCAGGGCUUAAUCAUUGGUGUGAGCUUGCCUGGAGGCUGCCGUCUUGGAAAAAUCUGGCCCCACCCAACAACAGCCUACAGUCAUGAGUGUUGAAAAGCUCAAGGCCAAAUAACCAGCAAGGUGGGAACAGAGACCCACCCAGCAGCAGAGAGGCUCCCUAAAGUCUUCCUAGGCAUACAGCCACCUCUAAUCACACCCCUCAAUAUGGCUCUGAUUACAAGAAGGAUGAGUUACAGCUCUACCCACUGGUGAGUGGGUAGGCACCAGUCCCUGACAGCAUGAAGCUGUCAAAAGCCCCUGGGUCAACUUCACCCUCUGAGGGCAGUCACCAGAAGCAAGAGGAAUUACAACCUUGUAGCCUACAUAAAGGAGAACACAAAGAUAGACAAAGUGAAACAGCAGAGAAAUACACUCCAAAGGAAUAAGACAAAACCCCCAGAACAGCAACUAAGAGAAGUGGAGAUAGGCAGCCUACAUGAAAACCUACAUGAUGACAGGAAAGAUGAUCCAAGAUCUUGGAAACAAAUGGAAGCAAAGACCAAGAAAUUACAAGAACUGUUUAACAAAGAAAGAGAAGAUUUGAAAAAGAGAUGAAUAAUAACUGAAAUGAAAAAAUAUGCUAGAAGGAAUCAAUAGAAGAGCACAUGAAGCAGAAAAAUGAAUAAGUGAGAUAGAAGACAGUCAGGUGGAAAUCACUGAUGUGGAACAGAAUAAGGAAAGAAGAAUGAAAAGAAGUGAGGACCGUCUAAGAGACCUCUGGUACAACAAAUGCACCAACAUUCACAUUACAAGGGUCUCAGAAGGAGAAGAGAGAGAGAAAGAACCAGAGAAAAUACUUCAAGAGAUAAUAGCCAAAAACUUCUCUAACAUGGGAAAGGAAACACUCAAUUCUAGGAAGCACAGACGUAUCAUACAGGAUAAACCUAAGAAGGAAUAUACCAAGACACAUAUUAUUUGAGCAAAAUUAAAGACAGGGAAAAUAUUGGAAGCAGCCAGGGAAAGGCAAUGAAUAACAUACAAGGGAACUCCCCUCCCCUAAGGCUAUUAGCUGCUUUUUCAGCAGAAACUCUUACAGGCCAGAAGGAAGUGGCCAAUAUAUUUAAUGUGAUGAAAGGGAAAAACCUACAAUCAAUACACUACCCAGCAAGGCUUCUGUUCAGAUUUGACAGAGUAAUCAAAAGCUUUACAGGUAAGCCAAAGCUAAGAGAAUUCAGCACCACCAAACCAGCUUUACAACAAAC